ACAAAGGUUUUUUUAAAAACUACACAAAGAUAAAAGAGGUAGAAA
Molecule: non-coding RNA, 45 nt
Organism: Ophiophagus hannah (king cobra)
Lineage: Eukaryota; Metazoa; Chordata; Lepidosauria; Squamata; Elapidae
Source: Rfam